Camelus dromedarius (Arabian camel) is the source of this 314-nucleotide long non-coding RNA. RefSeq lists it as uncharacterized. Lineage: Eukaryota; Metazoa; Chordata; Mammalia; Artiodactyla; Camelidae. The record is from RefSeq and is a predicted model, not a curated record. The transcript is spliced from 3 exons.
CAGAAAAGGCUGACCAGCCUCUGGUUCCCGUACCGGUCAAAUGAUAGGAGUACCUUUCCAGUUUGGAAACAUCUGGGCAGGCCCAGAUUGAACAGGAUCCAGGGGGAAGUACCAAGCCUGUCCCAUCGGCCAUCCUGUGUGUCAUGUCCUGUGACCCAGUGGAUGCUCAGCACCCUCCAGCUGAAGAAAAAGAUUGCCUUAGGUACAUGAAAGGUGAGGACACCUACUAUCCCCAUGGAGCCCAGGUGGGGCUGGGAGUCUGCUGUUUGUACAGCCGGUGGGCUCGUGUUGCUUUGGGCAUCCCUGUGCCUGAA